RNAcentral lists this ribosomal RNA (456 nucleotides) under uncultured Geobacillus sp. Its description in RNAcentral is "bacterial SSU rRNA". It matches the Rfam family "Bacterial small subunit ribosomal RNA", at positions 925 to 1382 of the family's 1533-position model. The record is from RNAcentral. Lineage: Bacteria; Bacillati; Bacillota; Bacilli; Caryophanales; Anoxybacillaceae.
ACAAGCGGUGGAGUAUGUGGUUUAAUUCGAAGCAACGCGAAGAACCUUACCAGGUCUUGACAUCCCGAUGCUAUUUCUAGAGAUAGAAAGUUACUUCGGUACAUCGGUGACAGGUGGUGCAUGGUUGUCGUCAGCUCGUGUCGUGAGAUGUUGGGUUUAAGUCCCGCAACGAGCGCAACCCUCGCCUCUAGUUGCCAGCAUUCGGUUGGGCACUCUAGAGGGACUGCCGGCGACAAGUCGGAGGAAGUGGGGAUGACGUCAAAUCAUCAUGCCCCUUAUGACCUGGGCUACACACGUGCUACAAUGGGCGGUACAAAGGGCUGCGAACCCGCGAGGGGGAGCGAAUCCCAAAAAGCCGCUCUCAGUUCGGAUUGCAGGCUGCAACUCGCCUGCAUGAAGCCGGAAUCGCUAGUAAUCGCGGAUCAGCAUGCCGCGGUGAAUACGUUCCCGGGCCUU